Molecule: ribosomal RNA, 1021 nt
Filed under: uncultured Gammaproteobacteria bacterium
Lineage: Bacteria; Pseudomonadati; Pseudomonadota; Gammaproteobacteria
Description: bacterial SSU rRNA
Rfam family: Bacterial small subunit ribosomal RNA
Source: RNAcentral
GGGAAUAUUGGACAAUGGGUGCAAGCCUGAUCCAGCAAUGCCGCGUGGGUGAAGAAGGUUUUCGGAUUGUAAAGCCCUUUUGGCGGGGACGAUGAUGACGGUACCUGCAGAAUAAGCCCCGGCUAACUUCGUGCCAGCAGCCGCGGUAAUACGAAGGGGGCUAGCGUUGCUCGGAAUGACUGGGCGUAAAGGGCGCGUAGGCGGCGAUCAAAGUCAGGCGUGAAAUUCCUGGGCUCAACCUGGGGGCUGCGCUUGAUACUUGGUUGCUUGAGUGGGGAAGAGGGUCGUGGAAUUCCCAGUGUAGAGGUGAAAUUCGUAGAUAUUGGGAAGAACACCGGUGGCGAAGGCGGCGACCUGGUCCUUGACUGACGCUGAGGCGCGAAAGCGUGGGGAGCAAACAGGAUUAGAUACCCUGGUAGUCCACGCCGUAAACGAUGUCGAUUUGGAGGUUGUGCCCUUGAGGCGUGGCUUCCGGAGCUAACGCGUUAAAUCGACCGCCUGGGGAGUACGGCCGCAAGGUUAAAACUCAAAUGAAUUGACGGGGGCCCGCACAAGCGGUGGAGCAUGUGGUUUAAUUCGAUGCAACGCGAAGAACCUUACCUACUCUUGACAUCCACGGAACUUGCCAGAGAUGGCUUAGUGCCUUCGGGAACCGUGAGACAGGUGCUGCAUGGCUGUCGUCAGCUCGUGUUGUGAAAUGUUGGGUUAAGUCCCGCAACGAGCGCAACCCUUAUCCUUUGUUGCCAGCACGUAAUGGUGGGAACUCAAAGGAGACUGCCGGUGAUAAACCGGAGGAAGGUGGGGAUGACGUCAAGUCAUCAUGGCCCUUACGAGUAGGGCUACACACGUGCUACAAUGGCGUAUACAAAGAGAAGCGACCUCGCGAGAGUCAGCGGACCUCAUAAAGUACGUCGUAGUCCGGAUUGGAGUCUGCAACUCGACUCCAUGAAGUCGGAAUCGCUAGUAAUCGUAGAUCAGAAUGCUACGGUGAAUACGUUCCCGGGCCUUGUACACACCGCCC